UCAUAGCUCAGUGGCAGAGUUUCUGCUUUGCGUGCAGAAGGUCGCAGGUUCAAUCCCCAGCACAGCCAUGUGAAAAA
Molecule: non-coding RNA, 77 nt
Organism: Podarcis lilfordi (Lilford's wall lizard)
Lineage: Eukaryota; Metazoa; Chordata; Lepidosauria; Squamata; Lacertidae
Source: the annotation of a GenBank genome assembly